This 86-nucleotide microRNA precursor is filed under the name Phlebotomus papatasi. RNAcentral describes it as "mir-965 microRNA precursor family". Lineage: Eukaryota; Metazoa; Arthropoda; Insecta; Diptera; Psychodidae. The record is from RNAcentral.
UGAAAAUUCGAUAAACGGUGAGCAAAAAAAACUGUAAGAGAAAUUAAUCGUACAGUUUUUUUUGCUCACCGUUUAUCGCAUUAAAU